AUUACUCCUACGGGAGGCAGCAGUAGGGAAUCUUCGGCAAUGGACGAAAGUCUGACCGAGCAACGCCGCGUGAGUGAAGAAGGUUUUCGGAUCGUAAAACUCUGUUGGUAGAGAAGAACGUUGGUGAGAGUGGAAAGCUCAUCAAGUGACGGUAACUACCCAGAAAGGGACGGCUAACUACGUGCCAGCAGCCGCGGUAAUAAU
RNAcentral lists this ribosomal RNA (204 nucleotides) under uncultured bacterium. RNAcentral describes it as "partial 16S ribosomal RNA". It matches the Rfam family "Bacterial small subunit ribosomal RNA", at positions 332 to 526 of the family's 1533-position model. The record is from RNAcentral.